UACGUAGGGGGCAAGCGUUAUCCGGAUUUACUGGGUGUAAAGGGAGCGUAGGCGGCUUAGUAAGUCAGAAGUGAAAGCCCGCAGCUCAACCGCGGGACUGCUUUUGAAACUGUGUAGCUAGAGUGCAGGAGAGGUAAGUGGAAUUCCUAGUGUAGCGGUGAAAUGCGUAGAUAUUAGGAGGAACACCGGUGGCGAAGGCGGCUUACUGGACUGCAACUGACACUGAGGCUCGAAAGUGUGGGUAUCAAACAGG
This 253-nucleotide ribosomal RNA is filed under the name uncultured Eubacteriales bacterium. RNAcentral describes it as "uncultured Clostridiales bacterium partial 16S ribosomal RNA". It matches the Rfam family "Bacterial small subunit ribosomal RNA", at positions 524 to 776 of the family's 1533-position model. Lineage: Bacteria; Bacillati; Bacillota; Clostridia; Eubacteriales. The record is from RNAcentral.